AAUCAGUUAUCGUAUAUUUGAUAGUACCUACUACAUGGAUAACCGUGGUAAUUCUAGAGCUAAUACAUGCUUAAAAUCCCGACUUCGGAAGGGAUGUAUUUAUUAGAUUAAAAACCAAUGCCCUUCGGGGCUCACUGGUGAUUCAUAAUAACUUCUCGAAUCGCAUGGCCUUGUGCCGGCGAUGGUUCAUUCAAAUUUCUGCCCUAUCAACUUUCGACGGCUGGGUCUUGGCCAGCCGUGGUUACAACGGGUAACGGAGGGUUAGGGCUUGACCCCGGAGAAGGAGCCUGAGAAACGGCUACUACAUCCAAGGAAGGCAGCAGGCGCGCAAAUUACCCAAUCCCGAUACGGGGAGGUAGUGACAAUAAAUACUGAUACAGGGCUCUUUUGGGUCUUGUAAUUGGAAUGAGUACAAUUUAAAUCCCUUAACGAGGAACAAUUGGAGGGCAAGUCUGGUGCCAGCAGCCGCGGUAAUUCCAGCUCCAAUAGCGUAUAUUAAAGUUGUUGCAGUUAAAAAGCUCGUAGUUGAACCUUGGGCCUGGCUGGCCGGUCUGCCUCACCGCAUGCACUGGUCCGGCCGGGCCUUUCCCUCUGGGGAGCCGCAUGCCCUUCACUGGGUGUGUCGGGGAACCAGGACUUUUACUGUGAAAAAAUUAGAGUGUUCAAAGCAGGCCUAUGCUCGAAUACAUUAGCAUGGAAUAAUAGAAUAGGACGUUGCGGUUCUAUUUUGUUGGUUUCUAGGACCGCCGUAAUGAUUAAUAGGGACAGUCGGGGGCAUCAGUAUUCAAUCGUCAGAGGUGAAAUUCUUGGAUCGAUUGAAGACUAACUACUGCGAAAGCAUUUGCCAAGGAUGUUUUCAUUAAUCAGGAACGAAAGUUAGGGGAUCGAAAACGAUCAGAUACCGUUGUAGUCUUAACCAUAAACUAUGCCGACUAGGGAUCGGGCGAUGUUUUUCUUUGACUCGCUCGGCACCUUACACGAAAGUAAAGUUUUGGGUUCUGGGGGGAGUAUGGUCGCA
This 1018-nucleotide ribosomal RNA is filed under the name Amphilogia gyrosa. Its description in RNAcentral is "SSU rRNA". It matches the Rfam family "Eukaryotic small subunit ribosomal RNA", at positions 104 to 1133 of the family's 1831-position model. The record is from RNAcentral. Lineage: Eukaryota; Fungi; Ascomycota; Sordariomycetes; Diaporthales; Cryphonectriaceae.